This 253-nucleotide ribosomal RNA is filed under the name uncultured bacterium. Its description in RNAcentral is "partial 16S ribosomal RNA". It matches the Rfam family "Bacterial small subunit ribosomal RNA", at positions 524 to 776 of the family's 1533-position model. The record is from RNAcentral.
UACGUAGGGGGCUAGCGUUGUCCGGAAUCAUUGGGCGUAAAGAGCGUGUAGGCGGCCCGGUAAGUCCGCUGUAAAAGUCAAAGGCUCAACCUUUGAAUGUCAGUGGAUACUGCCGGGCUAGAGUCCGGAAGAGGCGAGUGGAACUCCUGGUGUAGCGGUGGAAUGCGCAGAUAUCAGGAAGAACACCAACGGCGAAGGCAGCUCGCUGGGACGGUACUGACGCUGAGAAGCGAAAGCAUGGGGAGCGAACAGG